RNAcentral lists this ribosomal RNA (256 nucleotides) under uncultured bacterium. RNAcentral describes it as "partial 16S ribosomal RNA". It matches the Rfam family "Bacterial small subunit ribosomal RNA", at positions 524 to 776 of the family's 1533-position model. The record is from RNAcentral.
UACGUAGGGUGCGAGCGUUGUCCGGAAUUACUGGGCGUAAAGAGCUCGUAGGUGGUUUGUCGCGUUGUCCGUGAAAACUCACAGCUUAACUGUGGGCGUGCGGGCGAUACGGGCAGACUAGAGUACUGCAGGGGAGACUGGAAUUCCUGGUGUAGCGGUGGAAUGCGCAGAUAUCAGGAGGAACACCGAUGGGCGAAGGCAGGUCUCUGGGCCGCAACUGACGCUGGAGGAGCGGAAAGCAUGGGGAGCGAACAGG